This 390-nucleotide small RNA is filed under the name uncultured bacterium. RNAcentral's name for it is "bacterial SSU rRNA". The stretch from base 15 to 307 matches the Rfam family "Bacterial small subunit ribosomal RNA", at positions 60 to 350 of the family's 1533-position model. The record is from RNAcentral.
GCUUAAGGGGAGGNAGUCGAGCGGAGUUAAAAAGCUUGCUUUUUAACUUAGCGGCUGUCGGGUGAGUAACAAAAAAGCAACCUGCCUUUAAGAGGGGGAUAACACAGAGAAAUUUGUGCUAAUACCGCAUAAAGCUAUGACUUCGCAUGGAGACAUAGCCAAAGGAGAAAUCCGCUUAAAGAUGGGCCCGCGGCGCAUUAGCUAGUUGGUGAGGUAAUGGCUCACCAAGGCGACGAUGCGUAGCCGACCUGAGAGGGUGAUCGGCCACAUUGGAACUGAGACACGGUCCAGACUCCUACGGGAGGCAGCAGUGGGGCAGUUGGCUCAGAACGAACGCUGGCGGCCUGGCCAGAACGAACGCUGGCGGCUGGCUCAGAACGAACGCUGGCG